GAGUGAAUCACAUUUGAGCAAUAAAAUUGAAAUGAUACAUAAAAGGUUCGCAUGGUUCCUGCACAAAAAUGAUACUCACGAAUGGAUAAAUGAUCGAUUUUUUU
This 104-nucleotide small nuclear RNA is filed under the name Solanum tuberosum (potato). The record is from RNAcentral. Lineage: Eukaryota; Viridiplantae; Streptophyta; Magnoliopsida; Solanales; Solanaceae.